Molecule: ribosomal RNA, 253 nt
Filed under: uncultured bacterium
Lineage: Bacteria
Description: partial 16S ribosomal RNA
Rfam family: Bacterial small subunit ribosomal RNA
Source: RNAcentral
UACGAAGGGGGCUAGCGUUGCUCGGAAUUACUGGGCGUAAAGCGUGCGCAGGCGGUGAUGUAAGACAGAUGUGAAAUCCCCGGGCUCAACCUGGGAACUGCAUUUGUGACUGCAUCGCUGGAGUACGGCAGAGGGGGAUGGAAUUCCGCGUGUAGCAGUGAAAUGCGUAGAUAUGCGGAGGAACACCGAUGGCGAAGGCAAUCCCCUGGGCCUGUACUGACGCUGAGGUGCGAAAGCGUGGGGAGCAAACAGG